RNAcentral lists this ribosomal RNA (1455 nucleotides) under uncultured bacterium. RNAcentral describes it as "16S ribosomal RNA". It matches the Rfam family "Bacterial small subunit ribosomal RNA". The record is from RNAcentral.
AGUUUGAUUCUGGCUCAGAGUGAACGCUGGCGGCGUGCCUAAUACAUGCAAGUCGAACGAUGAAGCUCUAGCUUGCUAGAGUGGAUUAGUGGCGCACGGGUGAGUAAUGCAUAGAUAACAUGCCCUUUAGUCUAGGAUAGCCAUUGGAAACGAUGAUUAAUACUGGAUACUCCUUACGAGGGAAAGUUUUUCGCUAAAGGAUUGGUCUAUGUCCUAUCAGCUUGUUGGUGAGGUAAUGGCUCACCAAGGCUAUGACGGGUAUCCGGCCUGAGAGGGUGAACGGACACACUGGAACUGAGACACGGUCCAGACUCCUACGGGAGGCAGCAGUAGGGAAUAUUGCUCAAUGGGGGAAACCCUGAAGCAGCAACGCCGCGUGGAGGAUGAAGGUUUUCGGAUUGUAAACUCCUUUUGUUAGAGAAGAUAAUGACGGUAUCUAACGAAUAAGCACCGGCUAACUCCGUGCCAGCAGCCGCGGUAAUACGGAGGGUGCAAGCGUUACUCGGAAUCACUGGGCGUAAAGAGCGCGUAGGCGGGAUAGCAAGUCAGAUGUGAAAUCCUAUGGCUUAACCAUAGAACUGCAUUUGAAACUGUUAUUCUAGAGUAUGGGAGAGGUAGGUGGAAUUCUUGGUGUAGGGGUAAAAUCCGUAGAGAUCAAGAGGAAUACUCAUUGCGAAGGCGACCUGCUAGAACAUAACUGACGCUGAUGCGCGAAAGCGUGGGGAGCAAACAGGAUUAGAUACCCUGGUAGUCCACGCCCUAAACGAUGAAUGCUAGUUGUUGUGGAGCUUGUCUCUGCAGUAAUGCAGCUAACGCAUUAAGCAUUCCGCCUGGGGAGUACGGUCGCAAGAUUAAAACUCAAAGGAAUAGACGGGGACCCGCACAAGCGGUGGAGCAUGUGGUUUAAUUCGAAGAUACACGAAGAACCUUACCUAGGCUUGACAUUGAUAGAAUCCGCUAGAGAUAGUGGAGUGCUAGCUUGCUAGAACUUGAAAACAGGUGCUGCACGGCUGUCGUCAGCUCGUGUCGUGAGAUGUUGGGUUAAGUCCCGCAACGAGCGCAACCCUCGUCCUUAGUUGCUAACUAUUCGGUAGAGCACUCUAAGGAGACUGCCUUCGCAAGGAGGAGGAAGGUGAGGAUGACGUCAAGUCAUCAUGGCCCUUACGCCUAGGGCUACACACGUGCUACAAUGGGAAGCACAAAGAGAUGCAAUAUUGUGAAAUGGAGCAAAUCUAUAAAACUUCUCUCAGUUCGGAUUGUAGUCUGCAACUCGACUACAUGAAGCUGGAAUCGCUAGUAAUCGUAAAUCAGCUAUGUUACGGUGAAUACGUUCCCGGGUCUUGUACUCACCGCCCGUCACACCAUGGGAGUUGUAUUCGCCUUAAGUCGGAAUGCCAAACUGGCUACCGCCCACGGCGGAUGCAGCGACUGGGGUGAAGUCGUAAAAAGGUAACC